AUUCUGCCCUGCACUUUGGGAUAAGCCUGGGAAACUGGGUCUAAUACCGGAUAUACCUCAUGGGCUGCAUGGUUUGUGAGGGAAAGCUUUUGCGGUGUGGGAUGGGCCCGCGGCCUAUCAGCUUGUUGGUGGGGUGAUGGCCUACCAAGGCGACGACGGGUAGCCGGCCUGAGAGGGUGACCGGCCACACUGGGACUGAGAUACGGCCCAGACUCCUACGGGAGGCAGCAGUGGGGAAUAUUGCACAAUGGGCGCAAGCCUGAUGCAGCGACGCCGCGUGAGGGAUGACGGCCUUCGGGUUGUAAACCUCUUUCAGCAGGGACGAAGCGCAAGUGACGGUACCUGUAGAAGAAGGACCGGCCAACUACGUGCCAGCAGCCGCGGUAAUACGUAGGGUCCGAGYGNUGUCCGGAAUUACUGGGCGUAAAGAGCUCGUAGGUGGUUUGUCGCGUUGUUCGUGAAAACUCACA
RNAcentral lists this ribosomal RNA (470 nucleotides) under Mycolicibacterium tusciae. RNAcentral's name for it is "bacterial SSU rRNA". It matches the Rfam family "Bacterial small subunit ribosomal RNA", at positions 123 to 606 of the family's 1533-position model. Lineage: Bacteria; Bacillati; Actinomycetota; Actinomycetes; Mycobacteriales; Mycobacteriaceae. The record is from RNAcentral.